Long non-coding RNA from Syngnathus typhle (broad-nosed pipefish), 744 nucleotides. RefSeq lists it as uncharacterized. The record is from RefSeq and is a predicted model, not a curated record. The transcript is spliced from 2 exons. Lineage: Eukaryota; Metazoa; Chordata; Actinopteri; Syngnathiformes; Syngnathidae.
AACAAAAACACUCGAUCCCAACAUCCGCUGGCGAUGAGGUGGUUAUUAGGAGAACAAAUAAAAAGAGACACGCUCAGGGAGCAAAGUUGGACGGUGCUAGCGUUAGCUGAGCUAACGGUUACGACGAUUGACUAGUUUGGCCAAACGGGACGAGCAGGAGGGUAGAAACGACAGUGAUUUGGACUAAAGUCACGACCAGAUGACACGAGUCCAUCUUGUUCGGGCUUGUCAGUGUGUCCAAAACAAAACCUCAAAGUCGCUCGAGCUGACAAACAUCAAACAAGGUGGCUAGCAGGCCUAGCUUAUCGAGCGAACUUUCCCUGUCGCUUCUAUUUUCCUGCAAGACUUUUCCAGGAUAUUUUCACGCCCUUGUGGAGUUAACCGUCGACAACUGGCAGACUAGCCAGGGACGACUGACUCGCACUUGGCGGACGGACUGACGGAUAUACAAGGCCCCAAACUGCCUGACAAUCUGAGCCGACAAAUGUGACAAUUGGACACCAAUGGAUUGAAUGAUGGCACCCGACACGAUCCCAAAUGAGUAGCCGAGCAGGUUGCCCUCCUCACUUUCGUUCAGAACCUCCACCAGCUCGGCGCAGUUUUCACACAUCGUUGGCGCAGAGGACGGCUCGAGUGCUCCGCGUCAAACCAUCCUCCGGACGGGGGGAAGGAAGGCGGCUGGACGGCUGACGGCCGGGGCUGGCCUUUGACUUCCAGGCUGCUGCUUGGGCUCCCAAAUAGAAG